Molecule: long non-coding RNA, 2544 nt
Organism: Tupaia belangeri chinensis (Chinese tree shrew)
Lineage: Eukaryota; Metazoa; Chordata; Mammalia; Scandentia; Tupaiidae
Exons: 4
Source: RefSeq, a predicted model, not a curated record
UCAUUAUAAAAAAAAUUUUACCAAAAAAAAAAAAAAGUGUUGACAAGGCUGUGUUCCUUUGGGAGGCUGGAAGGGGAAGAUCGUUUCCUCAUCUUGUCCCGUUUCUAGAGGCCACCUGCACCCUUUGGUCAUGGCUUCUUCCUCCCAUCUUCAAAGCCACCAUCUUCAAAUCUGUUUCCCACCUUGACGCCACUUCUCUCACUUAGAAGGUGCCAUGAUCACAGUGGGCUCUCCUGAGUAACUCAGGCUCAUCUCCCCAUGGCCAGGUUAACUGGUUAGCAGCCUAAACUCUGCCUGCACCUUGAAGGCCCCCUCGCCAUGUAAUGUAGCCUGUGCACAAGUUCUGGGGGUGGGACAUGGACAUUCUUGGGGAGAGAGAGAGAUCACCCCCGUGGGGGGGCCACCACGGGGUAAUCAUGGAGUCCCACAUCCUCAUUCUAAACUCCAGGACACUUGGGCUCAGGGAGUUUAUGUGAAUUUCAGCCGUUUCCUCUGCAGGAGGGAAAACCCCUUCUUGAGCCGGGCUAAUCUGUCCGUGAAGCCCUGAGUAGGACUCAGCCAGAGGCCGGUGGUUCCCUCUUCCUCUAGUUCUUCCUCCUCACUGUGCCGCAUGGCUUUUCCUCUAUCUAGGGCUGUGUCCGGUGGGCGCACUCUCCCUCAACCUGACUUAAGGGACGGUGGUAAUUGCAUGGUGUCAGGAAGUGAAUCCUACCCAUCCAUUAGAGACUGACUGUUUUGGCAGAAGCAUGAGUUUUUAGAAAUGUGGCCGCCAGGUGCAUAGGUGGAGAUGCCAAGCUCAGAGAGCCCAGGGGUCCCGAGAGUCUGGGAUCCUGGAACUUCCCCCUUGAGAAGUCCAUGAAAAGGAGCUGAAGAGUGAGCCCCAACUGGCUGGUUUGCAGCUGACAGCGACAUUUCUGUUUGGCCAGCCUCUCUGGGUUUCUCAGUUUGCACACCCUGUUGGUCCAGAACUGGCCCCCACAUACAAGAGAGUUUGGGCUGCCAGGUGUCCCCUGCGGAGAUGCUGGUGACUCUGGUACAGAGGCCAAAUGCAAGGUGGCAGAUGGUCUAGUCAACCCAAGAGGUCUCCUUGCAAAGUCAGGACUAAAGAAGACACAGGAAGACUUAGCAGGGGAGACUUCCGCUUGAAAAGAGUGACCCAUGACUGGAGGGAGCAGAUGCCUAGUGGAGGAAGCUGUGUCUCAUUCAUAGUCACCUCCUCCCAAGUCAUGUCUUCCUGCGCAUCUACCCAGUCCUCCACCUUCGCUGCUGUAACUAGAGCCGGAAAGUGACAAGAGCUUGCUGAGCAUGGCUUCCGACUACAAACCCCAGGGCCCAAGAUCACAUUACUUAGAAGGUGAAUUCUGCAGAACUCGGAAAUGAAGCCAGUCUGGGGAGGAAACAAGGCCUUGUAAGAGGCAGUCGUGGUACCACCAAGGGCGGCAGCCCUCCGCUCUGGAGGAGAAUCGCGAGGAACGGCAGCGUGCUGUUGAGUCACAGAAAAGUCUCCUCGGGAUAAGACUACAGAGAUGUUCCCAGCAGCUGCAGCCAAGGAGGCAGGACACCUGCCUCUCCCAAGGACGAGUCAAUUCAGAAGCAGCAGCCGUCCCAGGAAGCUUCCAGUUCCUUUCUACCAGCACCUUCGGAGCUGCACCCUCAAGGCUGCGCCAUCGAUGCUGUAAGAGGUGGGAAGGGGGCCAUGAAGGAAGGCAUGACCGCCCGCUGGGAUGCAGCCAGACUGGAUGUGACUCGCCAUGUGAGGCACCAGUGCGCCCACCCCUGACCCCAGUCUCUCUUUUGGAGACUGGGAAGCAGCUGCCAGCUUCUGAGAUGCACAGACUGGAAUAAGAGAACCUAGUAGAAAUGGAAAGAGAAGCAAGAGGUCCAGAGCCCAGGCAAACGUCAUUGGAAAGUAGCCAGCAUGGAGUUACCGCUGUCCCUCCUUUUGGUGUUCUCGUAUUGUCUGGAUCUGGGAAGCCGGCAUUAAAAAGAAAAAAAAAAAAAAAUCAAGGUUUACAAGCUGUAAUGGAUGUUUUUCUCUUUAUUUCGAAGUCCACUUUAGGCCCCCUUCCUUCCUUGCUGACCCUGAAGAGUGUGGUGGGAAAGAGGUCAAGGCACCCACCUGCUCUGGCCUGUGGUCUUUAUCUUCCUUGCAAGCCAUAUGAUUUUAGUCAAGACACUCAAUAUCUGCUAGUGGACAGUAAUAAAGAACGUCGCAGCGAUCUCACUGGUUCCUCCUUCCAGUCGACGGGAUGGCGAAUGCACGAGUAUUUUGUAAAGAGAGUGCCAAGUGCCAAAUAGGCUUCCAUGACAAGUAGAACUCGCUGUCACAUAAUCUGAAGGUCAGAAUGUCAAUGAACAAGGCAAUUUCUAUCUUUUUAUUCCUUGGGACAAAUGCUAUGUCGCGUUUGUAUCUCUUAUGUUUUACUGUGUCAGUAUUGUGAUCCUUGAGGGAUUAGAACUGAUAAGGAAACUUUCAUUUAUAGGAAACCUUUUUUUUUUUUUUUUAAAGAUUUUUGCUAUAGGGGGCAUGCGCUCUCCAGAGAC